Long non-coding RNA from Raphanus sativus (radish), 565 nucleotides. RefSeq lists it as uncharacterized. Lineage: Eukaryota; Viridiplantae; Streptophyta; Magnoliopsida; Brassicales; Brassicaceae. The transcript has 4 exons. The record is from RefSeq and is a predicted model, not a curated record.
AAAACGCACAUUAGAAGGUACUUUAGUGAAAAAGAAAAGUCACCGGGGGCAGAGUGGUAAAUAAAGAGAGUUGGGAAGGGCGUACUAGUAAAAUUAUAGUAAAGCAGUGCUCUUCAUCUCCGACGAGUGGCAAGUGGUGAAGGUGUGGGAGGAAAGGAAAGCUAAUAAUCCGACAAAAACAAACCGUCUUCUCUGCCUAUGACUCAUCUCUCUGCACAGUCUUCUUUCUCUUGAACGCAGCAGAAUCUUCUCUCUUCUCUCAUUUCGAAGACGACGAAACAAAUCUCCAAGGAAGGCGUGAAGAGUAAAAGUAUAUCUGUUACCUUCUCUUCAAUGCAUUAAUCGCAGUCAAGUCUCACUUACUCGAUCUCAAUCAACAAUGUCGCCGUCGGAGAAUUCAGAUCGAAUUCUCUAAUUCCAGUAAUAUCAGCUCACUCAAAGGAACUCUGUUGAUUGAUUUUAAAAGAGAACAAUAAUGUCUCACUCAUGGGACGGUCUCGGGGAGAUCGCGUCGGUAGCUCAGCUCACCGGCCUAGACGCCGUCAAACUCAUAGGCCUCAUCGUC